GUGUGCAGUACCCUACUUCACAGAAUCUCGAUCAUGUCUAAAUAAAUAUGAUCGAAUCCUAUGAAGUAGAGUAAUGCAUGA
This 81-nucleotide microRNA precursor is filed under the name Cavia porcellus (domestic guinea pig). Lineage: Eukaryota; Metazoa; Chordata; Mammalia; Rodentia; Caviidae. The record is from RNAcentral.